Molecule: ribosomal RNA, 383 nt
Filed under: uncultured bacterium
Lineage: Bacteria
Description: bacterial SSU rRNA
Rfam family: Bacterial small subunit ribosomal RNA
Source: RNAcentral
AUUGAACGCUGGCGGCAUGCCUUACACAUGCAAGUCGAACGGCAGCACGGGAGCAAUCCCGGUGGCGAGUGGCGAACGGGUGAGUAAUAUAUCGGAACGUGCCCGGUCGUGGGGGGAUAACGUAGCGAAAGCUACGCUAAUACCGCAUACGAUCUACGGAUGAAAGCGGGGGAUCGCAAGACCUCGCGCGAUUGGAGCGGCCGAUAUCAGAUUAGGUAGUUGGUGAGGUAAAGGCUCACCAAGCCGACGAUCUGUAGCUGGUCUGAGAGGACGACCAGCCACACUGGGACUGAGACACGGCCCAGACUCCUACGGGAGGCAGCAGUGGGGAAUUUUGGACAAUGGGCGCAAGCCUGAUCCAGCAAUGCCGCGUGCAGGAUGAA